UAUUUUGUUUAGUAGUGAUGAAAGGUGGGUUUAAAAUAUACAGAAAUGAGAGAAAAUUGGAGAAAAUGUGAGGAUUUUAUAAUUGAUAACAUGUUCUUAAUUUUAUUUGCACAAGCAGUGUUCACAGCCUUAUUCUUCUGAAGUGACCACUUUUCUUCUCUUUGAGGCACUACCUGGCAGCACCAUCUAAACCUGUAUCUGCUGUGGUCCCAGUUACUCAGGAGGCUGAGGCAGGAGGAUCACUUGAGCCCAGGAGGUUGAGGCUGGAGUGAGCCAUGACUGUACCACUGCACUCCAGCCUGGGUGACGGAGUGAGGCCGUAUCUGGCUGCCAGUGAGUUCUGUCAUGCAUCAGACUUUGGACCUCAGAAUUUUCACCUGGAACAUGAAAGGGAACUGCAACAUGGCCCUCAUGACCACUCUCAAGAAUCAAAACGACAGAAGGCAGGCAACAAUCUGUGUUAGAGGCACAGCUGAGCUUCAGGAUGCCUGCUAUUAAAAUCCUUCACAAGCAGAAAUGAAACAAACCUGCCCUAA
Molecule: small RNA, 536 nt
Filed under: Pongo abelii (Sumatran orangutan)
Lineage: Eukaryota; Metazoa; Chordata; Mammalia; Primates; Hominidae
Description: processed transcript
Source: RNAcentral